This 253-nucleotide ribosomal RNA is filed under the name uncultured bacterium. Its description in RNAcentral is "partial 16S ribosomal RNA". It matches the Rfam family "Bacterial small subunit ribosomal RNA", at positions 524 to 776 of the family's 1533-position model. The record is from RNAcentral.
UACGUAGGGUGCGAGCGUUAAUCGGAAUUACUGGGCGUAAAGCGCGUGUAGGCGGUUGUCCAAGUCGGGUGUGAAAGCCUUGAGCUCAACUCCAGAACUGCCCUUGAUACUGGCGAUCUCGAGUCCGGAAGAGGUGAGUGGAAUUCCGAGUGUAGAGGUGAAAUUCGUAGAUAUUCGGAGGAACACCAGUGGCGAAGGCGGCUCACUGGCUCGGUACUGACGCUGAGGUGCGAAAGCGUGGGGAGCAAACAGG